AAGCGUGCGCAGGCGGUUAUGUAAGACAGAUGUGAAAUCCCCGGGCCUCAACCUGGGAACUGCAUUUGUGACUGCAUGGCUAGAGUACGGUAGAGGGGGAUGGAAUUCCGCGUGUAGCAGUGAAAUGCGUAGAUAUGCGGAGGAACACCGAUGGCGAAGGCAAUCCCCUGGACCUGUACUGACGCUCAUGCACGAAAGCGUGGGGAGCAAACAGGAUUAGAUACCCGAGU
This 230-nucleotide ribosomal RNA is filed under the name uncultured bacterium. RNAcentral's name for it is "partial 16S ribosomal RNA". It matches the Rfam family "Bacterial small subunit ribosomal RNA", at positions 563 to 791 of the family's 1533-position model. The record is from RNAcentral.